GAUGAACGCUGGCGGCGUGCCUAAUACAUGCAAGUCGAGCGAACAGACGAGGAGCUUGCUCCUCUGACGUUAGCGGCGGACGGGUGAGUAACACGUGGAUAACCUACCUAUAAGACUGGGAUAACUUCGGGAAACCGGAGCUAAUACCGGAUAAUAUAUUGAACCGCAUGGUUCAAUAGUGAAAGACGGUUUUGCUGUCACUUAUAGAUGGAUCCGCGCCGCAUUAGCUAGUUGGUAAGGUAACGGCUUACCAAGGCAACGAUGCGUAGCCAACCUGAGAGGGUGAUCGGCCACACUGGAACUGAGACACGGUCCAGACUCCUACGGGAGGCAGCAGUAGGGAAUCUUCCGCAAUGGGCGAAAGCCUGACGGAGCAACGCCGCGUGAGUGAUGAAGGUCUUCGGAUCGUAAAACUCUGUUAUUAGGGAAGAACAAAUGUGUAAGUAACUAUGCACGUCUUGACGGUACCUAAUCAGAAAGCCACGGCUAACUAUGUG
This 497-nucleotide ribosomal RNA is filed under the name uncultured bacterium. Its description in RNAcentral is "partial 16S ribosomal RNA". It matches the Rfam family "Bacterial small subunit ribosomal RNA", at positions 28 to 507 of the family's 1533-position model. The record is from RNAcentral.